UGGAAUUCGUUGUAAAUACUGCUGGUUUUGUCUCAGCUCAUGAAGACAAUAUAGAAACAUACUGCAGGAAAGCACAUGUCCUUUCAUUUUUAAGUUAUUUAGGGCAGCUUAAAAUUCGUGACUUGAAAAGACUUGAAAGUUUGUGUUCUGUUUUAAGAGAACAUGAACCUUUGACUUUUCUUUCUGGAAGAAACAAAAGAUGGAAAAAUCUUAUUUAAAUCUUCACCACAGGUUUACUUACUUUGGAGCCUUCUGCAUUUUUGGCCUAUUUGGUAAUCCUCAUGUUUGAGUCACCUGAAGGCAUCAAGAGCUCACCACCUCCAAAAGCACACGGCCUGGACAGCCACUCCCUGAAGCAAAUCUGCCAUGUAUCCAUAUAUUCAUGCGGUACUGGGAGAAACAGUUGGAUAGGGGCAUGGUGUUUGUCUUCACAAAGCUCACAGGACUGAGAUGAUGACGUAAGGAAGUAGUCACAAGGCAGUAUGGAUAGCAGGCAAGAACUGGGGUCCCGGGGCCGCACUGCCUGGAUUCCAAGCCUGAUUUUGCAUGCAUGACUUGAGACUUCAGGGGCAAGUCCAGCCAGUCAGCAAGCCACCUGAAUUUACAGGAGUGACAUUUCCACGUUAUUCAAAUUCAAAACAAGCCUACUCGGUGAACCUCAGCCCCAAGGAAUUCACAGUGCUCUACAUCGACUCCCAAUUUGCAAUUCUAGCAUCUCACUGAGACCAGGCAGUACAGAAAGAGACCUUGUGUUUUGUGACAAGUUCUUCUUUCAAGUCUUCAUGCUCAAAGAGAAUUGACUACAGAGUGUCAGGUGUCCUUCAGCUGAGAUUUAACAAGCAGUAAUAAUCAUCAGCCGA
Molecule: long non-coding RNA, 860 nt
Filed under: Homo sapiens (human)
Lineage: Eukaryota; Metazoa; Chordata; Mammalia; Primates; Hominidae
Description: HSALNT0079069
Source: RNAcentral